GAUGAACGCUGGCGGCAUGCCUAACACAUGCAAGUCGAUCGGUAAGGCUCUUCGGAGUACACGAGAGGCGGACGGCUGAGUAACGCGUAGGAACACACCCUGCAGUGAGGGAUAAGACACCGAAAGGUGUUCUAAUACCGCAUACGGUCUUCGGAUUAAAGCAUUUAUGCGCUGAAGGAGUGGCCUGCGUCAUAUUAGAUAGUUGGUGAGGUAAUGGCUCACCAAGUCGAUGAUGUGUAGCUGGUCUGAGAGGAUGAUCAGCCAGACUGGAACUGAGACACGGUCCAGACUCCUACGGGAAGCAGCAGUGAGGAAUAUUUCGCAAUGAGCGAAAGCUUGAUGGAGCAAUGCCGCGGGCAGGAUGAAGGCCCUCGGGUUGUAAACUGCUUUUAUAAGAGAAGAUUAUGACGGUAACUUAUGAAUAAGGGACGGCUAACUACGUG
RNAcentral lists this ribosomal RNA (443 nucleotides) under uncultured bacterium. RNAcentral's name for it is "partial 16S ribosomal RNA". It matches the Rfam family "Bacterial small subunit ribosomal RNA", at positions 28 to 507 of the family's 1533-position model. The record is from RNAcentral.